RNAcentral lists this ribosomal RNA (497 nucleotides) under uncultured bacterium. RNAcentral's name for it is "partial 16S ribosomal RNA". It matches the Rfam family "Bacterial small subunit ribosomal RNA", at positions 28 to 507 of the family's 1533-position model. The record is from RNAcentral.
GAUGAACGCUGGCGGCGUGCCUAAUACAUGCGAGUCGAGCGAACAGACGAGGAGCUUGCUCCUCUGACGUUAGCGGCGGACGGGUGAGUAACACGUGGAUAACCUACCUAUAAGACUGGGAUAACUUCGGGAAACCGGAGCUAAUGCCGGAUAACAUGUUGAACCGCAUGGUUCAACAGUGAAAGACGGUCUUGCUGUCACUUAUAGAUGGAUCCGCGCCGCAUUAGCUAGUUGGUAAGGUAACGGCUUACCAAGGCAACGAUGCGUAGCCGACCUGAGAGGGUGAUCGGCCACACUGGAACUGAGACACGGUCCAGACUCCUACGGGAGGCAGCAGUAGGGAAUCUUCCGCAAUGGGCGAAAGCCUGACGGAGCAACGCCGCGUGAGUGAAGAAGGUCUUCGGAUCGUAAAGCUCUGUUAUUAGGGAAGAACAAAUGUGUAAGUAACUAUGCACGUCUUGACGGUACCUAAUCAGAAAGCCACGGCUAACUACGUG